CCAGACAAAGUGCGGUAAUACGUAGGGCGCAAGCGUUGUCCGGAAUUAUUGGGCGUAAAGAGCUCGUAGGCGGCUUGUCGCGUCGGUUGUGAAAGCCCGGGGCUUAACCCCGGGUCUGCAGUCGAUACGGGCAGGCUAGAGUUCGGUAGGGGAGAUCGGAAUUCCUGGUGUAGCGGUGAAAUGCGCAGAUAUCAGGAGGAACACCGGUGGCGAAGGCGGAUCUCUGGGCCGAUACUGACGCUGAGGAGCGAAAGCGUGGGGAGCGAACAGGAUUAGAUACCCUGGUAGUCCACGCCGUAAACGGUGGGAACUAGGUGUUGGCGACAUUCCACGUCGUCGGUGCCGCAGCUAACGCAUUAAGUUCCCCGCCUGGGGAGUACGGCCGCAAGGCUAAAACUCAAAGGAAUUGACGGGGGCCCGCACAAGCAGCGGAGCAUGUGGCUUAAUUCGACGCAACGCGAAGAACCUUACCAAGGCUUGACAUACACCGGAAACGGCCAGAGAUGGUCGCCUCCCUUGUGGUCGGUGUACAGGUGGUGCAUGGCUGUCGUCAGCUC
This 557-nucleotide ribosomal RNA is filed under the name Streptomyces alanosinicus. RNAcentral describes it as "bacterial SSU rRNA". It matches the Rfam family "Bacterial small subunit ribosomal RNA", at positions 508 to 1061 of the family's 1533-position model. The record is from RNAcentral. Lineage: Bacteria; Bacillati; Actinomycetota; Actinomycetes; Kitasatosporales; Streptomycetaceae.